Molecule: long non-coding RNA, 4925 nt
Filed under: Theobroma cacao (cacao)
Lineage: Eukaryota; Viridiplantae; Streptophyta; Magnoliopsida; Malvales; Malvaceae
Description: long non-coding RNA (TCAC_LNC001869)
Source: RNAcentral
GGCUAGAGUAAGAACAAAGGAAGAAAAAAAGAACACAAACCCUAGGUGGAAAAAUUCAAGGGGAAAGUGUAAAAAUUCAAGUAAUCAAGCAAUCAAAGGUAAAAUUUCUUGAUUUUGACUUGUGAUCUACCUUUCCCAUGCAUUAUUUUGCAUUUUCCAUGGUUGAAUCACAAGAUAUCAUGAAGGAUUCAUGGCUGACCAAAUUUAGAGAGAGAAGAUUUGAUGAUUUAUAUGGUUAGAUUUUGAGAUAUUUUAGUGUUUAUAGUUGAUUUAUCAUGUUUGGAAGGAAAACAAGUAAGAAAAAUCACAUGUUCUUCAUGGAUUCUUCAUUGGCCGAAUUUUCCAUGUAGAGUGUGGAUGAUGUCACGACCCAAAUUCCAGGUCAUGAUCGACGCAUGGGCCUAAUGGACGUAGUCCACUAAGCCCAAGCAAGCCUAUUAAUCUGACAUGUUCAUCAUUCCAUCAUAAACUGCUAAGUCACAUUUCAUAACUUAGGAUCAAAAUAAUAUUAAACAUUUGCCACCUCAUACUGGCAUACUAAACAAGUGUAUAUACAUUAUCUACAACAUGUAUCUUAAUAUUUUACAUUAGGUUUGCCUAUACACAACAAAAGAAUACUUGACUUCCAGCGGAGGGUCUCGGACGAACGUAUAACUACUGAAUGCCAAGACACCUACCAAAAGAUGGAUACAAGUCUACAAGGACACCUCGUCCUAGUUACCGGCUACCUCGUGAUCUAAAAACAUGAAGUUGAAAACGGUGAGUAUAAACCCAGUGAGUGAACAAGGAAGGGAACAAGCAACAACAAGGGAGAAUUUAAAAUCAUGAUGCACUUGUUUCAAAACAAUGCAAUUUAGUUCCAUUCAUAUUAAAAACCCCUCAUCAAGCCCUUAAAUGAUUAAUCAUUUGAAAAUCAUGAACCCAUACAUAACGAACCGUUUGAAGAAUGAAAGCUUCAAUGAUACGCAAGCAAGUCAAAUACGACAACGAAUCUUCGCUGUAGCGGAAAGGCAUUCUCGCUGCAACUACGCUGGGAUUAAGUUAUUAGUCGAAUGAGGGUUUCUCAACUGGCUGAGGGUUUCUACUAAACUUCCUCAUUUUAAACUUAACUUAUUUAGUCCUUAAUGUUGGAAGUCCAUGCUCAGAUAUGGUAGCAAAGAAGUGAAAAAUAGGGCAGCAAUUGGACAAGAUAGGAGCAAAACAGAAAGUUUUUCGCUGCAGCGAGAUUCAAUCUCGCUACAGCGAAAUUGUAACCUAGAAACUGAAAGUUUCUCGCUGCAGCGAGAAUGAAUUUCACUGCAGCGAGAUGCUACAGUGUCAUUCUCGUUGCAGCAAAACUGCAUUCUCGCUGCAGCAAGUUUUCAGCCAGUCUACCCCUCCAACCCCGAGAGUUUCUAGCUGCAGCGAAAAUGAUUCUCGCUACAGCGAGAAACAGGCACCAAUGAAAAAUUUGCCCUUCUUUCAAAAGAAAAAAUUGCCCUGCUAAAAUGUCCAAACCAACAUGAAACGCAUAACAAAUUUCCAAAGUUUAACAUGUCAAGUUUCACAUGCAAUACAACCAUAUACCAUUACUCAUUAAUUUCCUAUAACACACAUAUUUACAUAUGUAUAUAUGUAUACGUAUACCCAUCAUCAUCAUGCACACCAUCCCAUCAUCAUCAUACACACCAUCACAUAAUCAUCAUCAUCACCGGGUUAUGCGCACUCUCUACUCGCACAUGGCUAGGUCAUCACCGGGUUAUGCACACUCCCUACUCGCACAUAACCAGAUCAUCCUCGGCUUAUGCGCACUCCCUACUCACACAUAGCCGAGUCAAUAUAAUUACACAACACUAUAUUCAAACAUAUAUGUAUAUCAACAUAAUGCAGCAGCAUAGAGAUCCAUGAUAACCACAUGUCAUAACAUAAAAUUGAUUUAUCAAAGGUUUGUUCCCAAGGCACUUAUUUUAACAAAAGUUGUAUAGAAUCAUUCAAAUAUUUUGUACAAAACGAUCAUAUUCCCAAAACGAUUUUGAUAGGAAGUCCACUCACCGGUAUAUUGUUGAGCCUUUAGCUGACUCUAAUUCCCCUAAUGAUCCAAUUGGGAUGAUAGGGCUUCGUUAGAACCUAGAAUCACAUUAGCAGUAGCAAUAGGUCAAUUCACAUACUAUAAACCCUAAAAGCUAUCCCUUAGCUAGCCACUUUAAAUGGCUAUCUAUGUUCACUAUCUUAAGCACUAUAAAGUGGAUGAACAUCCUCAACAAUAAAACAGCUCAUAGUCCCAAUUACUAGCCAUUAUCCACAGCUAAAAAUCAAGCUUAGUUCAUCACUUACCCUAGGGUUCCUUUGUAGUCGAAUUCUCUUCCAAUAGCUUCCAAACAAAUAGAGUAAUUCUCUCUUUCUCUCUCUAAAAUGCCCAACUAGUGAGAGAAAGUAUGAAAAUAAGAUUUUUCAAGGGUUUUAAGGAGAGAGAGUGGAAGAAUACAAGGGUUCUAGUCAAAAGGGCACAAGGAUAUGAAAACUAGAGCUAGAGAGAGAAAAUUAUGCAAGCUCCGUAUCAAGCUUCCAUGAAGGUUGGAAGCAACGUGAGAUGGAAGAAGAAGAAGAAGACAAGCUAUUGGAAAUUCAAGAAGCUGCUGGAAGGAGAAGAUAUUUAUAGCCCAAGCUUAUCCAUUCCCUUGAAAUUACCAAAUUUCCCAUCCACAAAUUAGCUUAUUCUUCUCCAAUCUUUUAUGCAAUCUUUUUUCUCUUUUGACACUGGGACAAGGUCCAUAAUGGUCUAGACAUGCUCGAGUUCAUGAAAACUUAAAAUUCUAACCUAAGGUGAAAAAUGACAAUUUUGCCCUUAUCGUGAAAAUCAUCAAAAUUUUUGUUUCCUUGUCAUUUUACCCUUAAUUUCAUCAUUCAUUUAUUCCUUAGGCCUACUUAGGCCAUAAUAUUGUUUAAAAUCUUACUAUUAUGGGCUUACUAAGGAAAUGACGAAAUUACCCCUGAUUAGGGAUAUCGCAUAUUUUACUAUGAGUCUAUAAAGGUCAACGUCUCACAGAUGAUGAUUUUGAUUUUAUUUCAAGUGAAUUGGUUAGGAAAUGAUGAAUUAUGGUGAGAAAAUCAAGUACAAAAAAUCAUAGUAUUGAUGCACCCAUCAUGGACGAAUUUUCCAAGAGAAAAUGUGAAGAUGAUUUUGCUAGAUUUUAUACUAUUUGACUUGUGUUUGAUGAUUUGGAGUAUUGGGAGAAAAAUGAAAUUAUUUGGAGUUAAAUUGGACAUAUUGGCCAAUUAAUCGAGAGAUAGAUCGAAUUAGGCCAAUACCAUUUUAUUUAGGUACACAAUUGAAUUUGUGUAGAAUAUCAUGUUUAGACAAUAAUCCGAACAAUUUGCAUUCCAUCUCAUGCAUUAGUCAAGAUCCUGAAAUAGAUUUAUAAUGGUAUGACACAGUAUAUUGAAUUAUGUAUCGUGUAUUGUAUAUAGGUGGUGAGCCCUCUAACAAGGGUAAAGACGUUGUGUCAGAGGAUUGAGAAUAGGAGUAUUUCAAACUCCUGAUACUGUGAGUAACCUUACUAUCGUCUUAAUUAUCUAAAGUGGUUUUUAUUCGAUUUUAUGAUUUUAUGGAAAAUGAGUUUAAAUGGCAAAUAUUUAUGUUUUAUAAGCAAAAUGUGAUUAAAUGAAAUGAUUUUAUAAAAUUUUCUUGAAAUUGAAUGAUGGUUUUGGAAAAUGGAGUAAUUUGAGACUAAUUGUUGUGUUAUAAAUCAUGGUUUGAAUUGUAUGGCUUAUGAUAAUAUUAGCAUGAAUGGUUGAUUUGGUAAAUGUGUUGAAAAUGUAUGAACUGUUAAUUUGCCUUGAGAGGCUGUAAAAUAAAAUAAUUGUCAUGUCAUGUUAUCGCAUAUUUUAUUAAAUUGGUGGGUUAUAAAUUAGUCGCUGCAGUAGACGGAUUCCGUUGACCAGCCUAUUAGAGGGGCACGGUAAUCCUAUUAUAUUCAUACCUCAGUAUGAGAGGCGCGGUUGGAUAACUCAUGAGGUUAACACUUUAAAGUUCACUUCACGUCAAACCACCACAUGAGGGUGAACUUAGCCAACGCCAAGGAAUGGCUAUGUUUUCAAAAUAAAAACAUGAUUUAUGCGUACAUAACUUUUUAACAGUAUUGGCGGUCUCGGUUGGGAUAGCCCUCGGCCAAGGUAUCCCUAAGAACUGAGUAUGAAAAUUAUUUUGGCACGAGCCAAAGUUUUAAGAAAUUCAUAAGCCAUGUUGAUUACUCGAUUUUUAUGAAUUGAUUUUAUUUGGUUGAAAUGAGUUGAAAGGUGAUGAAUUACAGUAUGUUAAAUUAUUUUAUCUGUCUUCAUUUACUCAAUUUUAGAUAUUUUAUAUGGUAUUUGUUUACUCACUGGGAUUAUAUAAUCUCACCACCCUCCUUUCCACCCAUUUCAGGCUUAGGAUAGUCGGUAGAUAGCUCAUUUCGUUGAGGGCUACAGUUGGACUUGCAUCCUCAAAAAUUGUAGGUUUACUGCUUUUAAUACUUUUAGUCGUUAGUGGGCCCACGUGUCACUGUAAAUUAAAUUUUAUACUUUGGUUAUCUGUAUUACAGUAUGUAUGAAUUUAUUUAGCUUUUACGCUAUAAAAAUUAUUUACCGGUAACUCUAUAAAUAUUGUUUUCUAAGAUUAUAGAAUAUUUUAUUAAAUAGUUUUAUUAUAUUCAAAUAGUCAUAAUUUAAUUUUAAAUGAAUAUUUUAGACAUCUAAACUUAUUUUUGAUUAUGAAAUAUGUGUUUUCCACUCGCAUACUACAUUUUUAACUAGUUUCGAGGUUUUCGAGGAAAAAUGACCAAAAUGACCCUAUGAGACAGAAAUCAUUUUUUUUAUUGAUUUAAGUUGGAAAUAGCUUAAAAUCUUUUAGAACAUGAUAUUUGGUAACGGUUACUCACAGCGGAAAUGAGAAACUGAUAUUAAAGCCU